Molecule: transfer RNA, 71 nt
Filed under: Pterygotrigla ryukyuensis (Ryukyu gurnard)
Lineage: Eukaryota; Metazoa; Chordata; Actinopteri; Perciformes; Triglidae
Description: tRNA-Trp
Rfam family: tRNA
About the family: Transfer RNA (tRNA) molecules are approximately 80 nucleotides in length. Their secondary structure includes four short double-helical elements and three loops (D, anti-codon, and T loops). Further hydrogen bonds mediate the characteristic L-shaped molecular structure. tRNAs have two regions of fundamental functional importance: the anti-codon, which is responsible for specific mRNA codon recognition, and the 3' end, to which the tRNAs corresponding amino acid is attached (by aminoacyl-tRNA synthetases). tRNAs cope with the degeneracy of the genetic code in two manners: having more than one tRNA (with a specific anti-codon) for a particular amino acid; and 'wobble' base-pairing, i.e. permitting non-standard base-pairing at the 3rd anti-codon position.
Source: RNAcentral
AGGGGCUUAGGUUAGCACAAGACCAAGAGCCUUCAAAGCCCUAAGCGAGAGUGAAAAUCUCCCAGCCCCUG